This 1189-nucleotide ribosomal RNA is filed under the name uncultured organism. RNAcentral describes it as "bacterial SSU rRNA". It matches the Rfam family "Bacterial small subunit ribosomal RNA", at positions 213 to 1408 of the family's 1533-position model. The record is from RNAcentral.
CGGUGGUAUAAGAUGGGAUGCGUAGGAUAGCUAGUAGGUAGUGUAACGGACUACCAGGCAACGAUCCUUAGGGGUCUGAGAGGAUAUCCCCCACACUGGUACUGAGACACGGACCAGACUCCUACGGGAGGCAGCAGUGAGGAAUAUUGGUCAAUGGGCGCGAGCCUGAACCAGCCAUCCCGCGUGCAGGAUGACGGCCCUAUGGGUUGUAAACUGCUUUUCUACGCCAAGAAAGGCCCGUACGCGUACGGGAUUGACGGUAGCGUAGGAAUAAGCAUCGGCUAACUCCGUGCCAGCAGCCGCGGUAAUACGGAGGAUGCAAGCGUUAUCCGGAUUCAUUGGGUUUAAAGGGUGCGCAGGCGGGCUUGUAAGUCAGUGGUGAAAUACUAGCCGCUUAACGGUAGAAUUGCCAUUGAUACUGCGAGUCUAGAGUAAUGGUAGAGGUAGGCGGAAUGUGCAGUGUAGCGGUGAAAUGCAUAGAGAUUGCACCAGAACGCCGAUUGCGGAGGCAGCUUACUAAGCCAUAACUGACGCUGAGGCACGAAAGCUUGGGGAGCGAACAGGACUAGAUACCCUGGUAGUCCACGCUGUUAACGAUGUUCACUCGCUGUUUGCGAUACACAGUAAGCGGCUGAGCGAAAGCAUUAAGUGAACCACCUGGGGAGUACGAUCGCAAGGUUGAAACUCAAAGGAAUUGACGGGGGCCCGCACAAGCGGAGGAACAUGUGGUUUAAUUCGAUGAUACGCGAGGAACCUUACCUGGGCUUAAAUGUAGGCUGCAUGAAGUAGAAAUACUUCUUUCCUUCGGGACUGCUUACAAGGUGCUGCAUGGUUGUCGUCAGCUCGUGCCGUGAGGUGUCGGGUUAAGUCCCAUGACGAGCGCAACCCUUAUCGUUAGUUGCUAGCAGGUAAAGCUGAGGACUCUAGCGAGACUGCCACCGUAAGGUGAGAGGAAGGUGGGGAUGACGUCAAAUCAGCACGGCCCUUAUGUCCAGGGCUACACACGUGUUACAAUGGCCGGUACAGAGGGAAGCUACCUGGUGACAGGUUGCCAAUCUUAAAAGCCGGUCUCAGUUCGGAUUGGAGUCUGCAACCCGACUCCAUGAAGUUGAUUCGCUAGUAAUCGCGCAUCAGCCAUGGCGCGGUGAUACGUUCCCGGGCAUGUACACACCGCCCGUCAAACCAUGGA